AUGCAAUGCGGAGGUAAUGGGGAACGUCGACAGUUCACACGCGGUUUCCACAAUCCAUCUGGAGCUUUACCCGGAAUAGGAGCCUAUCGUGGCCGUCCUACGGGAGCCAUUGCUACACCCGAAACGAGAAGCAAAUUAUUCUCGAUCGGUUGGCUGCUGGCUACAACUACUCGGCUCAUUCCUUUGAGCACAUACGCUUCUCUCUCUCUCUCUCUCUCUCUGUGUGUGUGUGUGUCUCUCUCUGCACGCGCGGACGCCAUGGACAAACCUCCGGCGGGAGCAGCAGCCAACAAGGCUGGCAAUCCUCCGGCGGCAGCAGCAGCCAACAAGGUUCGCAAUCCUCCGGCGGCAGCAGCGGCCAACAACUUUGCCAAUCCUCCGGUGGCUUCGCUGCAGGUGGUGGUGAUAGCUCCUGCAGCGAAUGUGGUCGUCAAUCCUGCAGCGAAUGUGGUCGUCAAUCCUGCAGCGAAUGUGGUCGUCAAUCCACCAGCAGAGGCGGCGUCAGAGCGUGGAGCUGCGGAAGUUCUGUGGCUGAUUGUUUCCCUCUUCAUUUUGGUGAUCGGCGUGGUUCUGCUGCUGAACUGGUGCCUCUAA
Molecule: ribosomal RNA, 594 nt
Filed under: Triticum aestivum (bread wheat)
Lineage: Eukaryota; Viridiplantae; Streptophyta; Magnoliopsida; Poales; Poaceae
Description: partial small subunit ribosomal RNA
Source: RNAcentral